AGAGUUUGAUCAUGGCUCAGAAUCAACGCUGGCGGCGUGCCUCAGACAUGCAAGUCGAACGAUUAAAGCUCCCUUCGGGGAGUGCAUAAAGUGGCGCACGGGUGAGUAACACGUAAGUAAUCUACCUUCGAGUGGGGAAUAACGUUCGGAAACGGACGCUAAUACCGCAUAAUGCAGCGGCAUCGCAAGAUGACAGUUGUUAAAGAUUUAUUGCUUGAAGAGGAGCUUGCGGCAGAUUAGCUAGUUGGUAAGGUAAUGGCUUACCAAGGCUACGAUCUGUAUCCGGUCUAAGAGGACGGUCGGACACACUGACACUGAAUAACGGGUCAGACUCCUACGGGAGGCAGCAGUCGGGAAUUUUGGGCAAUGGGGGAAACCCUGACCCAGCAACGCCGCGUGAAGGAUGAAGUAUUUCGGUAUGUAAACUUCGAAAGAAUAGGAAGAAUAAAUGACGGUACUAUUAUAAGCUCCGGCUAACUACGUGCCAGCAGCCGCGGUA
RNAcentral lists this ribosomal RNA (499 nucleotides) under uncultured Acidobacteriota bacterium. Its description in RNAcentral is "bacterial SSU rRNA". It matches the Rfam family "Bacterial small subunit ribosomal RNA", at positions 8 to 522 of the family's 1533-position model. Lineage: Bacteria; Pseudomonadati; Acidobacteriota. The record is from RNAcentral.